UCAAUAAUCCCUUUAUAAUAAUUAUAAUGAACAGUCACUUUGCAAGGCAAAUAUUGAAGUAGGGGAGAGCCGGGUCGAUUGAAACACGGGACGAUUGAAACACAGCGAUUUACUCGAAAACCACGCAAGGCUUUCACGUCAAAAUUCGUCACUACGUUCAGCAAGCAAGACUGACCAACCCCGGGAAAUUUCAUGUAAUGACGUCACGCCGUUCAGAUGUUAUCCCGCGAACCUGUUUUCGAGAGCUGUCAGAAAAUUUGCCUUUGAGCUGGCAGUCCACUUCAGCUGCCCAUUCCCUGCAUCCUGGUCGAGGAAGAGCAUGGCGGGGAAGGACUGGUUCACCUCCUUCAUGGAGCGCAGUGGCAGCCUCUCCCUUCGGCGUCCAGAGGCCACUAGCCAACAGCGAUUGUCCAGCUUCAACCAAACAAAUGUAAACUUGUUCCACCAAAAUUUAAAGACGGUGCUGGAACGGCACCAGUUCCAGGCCAAGGACAUUUGGAACAUUGAUGAAACCGGGGUCACCACUGUCCAGGUGCCAGACCGUGUCGUCGCCCAGAUGGGGCAGAAGCAGGUCGGGUCAGUGACCUCAGCGGAGAGGGGGACCCUGGUCACAGUUGCCUUGGCAGGCAAUGCGCAGGGCGACCUUGUUCCGCCAUUCUUCAUCUUCCCCCGUAAGCGGUUCAAAGACCACUUCCUGAGGGGUGGACCCGUUGGCUGUGCAGGCAGCGGCAACCCAACUGGCUGGAUGAAGGAGCCAGACUUCCUCCUGUACCUGGCCCACUUCACCAGGCACACCCGUGUGUCCAAGGAGUCGAAGCUGCUCCUCCUGCUGGACAAUCACCCGUCCCACCUGUCAAUUGCAGCAAUUGAUUACUGCAGAGCUAAUGGCAUAGUGCUGCUGUCAUUCCCUCCCCACUGCACCCACAGGUUGCAGCCAAUGGACAUUAGUGUCUUCGGCCCCCUAAAGGGGUACGUAAACAGUGCGGCGGACAGGUGGAUGAGGAGCCACCCAGGGAUCAACAUCUCCAUUUAUGAUGUGCCCUCCAUCGUUGCUGAAGCCUUACCAAAGGCUGCGACAGUGAACAACAUUACCUCCGGGUUCUCAAGUCCAGGGAUCUGGCCUUUUAACCCCUCUGCGUUUGAGGAAAAGGACUUCGCCGGAGCCUAUUCCACAGACCGUCCUCCUCCCCAGGCUUCGGGUGACGAGGUCAGCGCUUCUCCAGGUGCCACUUCAGGCAUGGAUGUACCUGAUCGAGCUGCCGGGCCUGACGAAGCUGUCCGGCCUGAGGGAGAGGCCGUUGAGUUCAGCCCGGACAUCGUCCGGCCUUACCCUAAGGCCGGACCUAGAAAGAUCACAAAGAGAAGAGGGAGAAAGAGGACAACUGCUAUACUUACGGACACCCCGGUGAGGGCUGCUUUAGAGGCGGAAAAGCAGGGAACUGGGAAGCAGCGUCGUCCCGCUAAGCAGCCUCCCUCCUCUCGGGCUCCCAAGAAGAGGCUGUUCUCGCCCGCUCCUGAUGCCGGAGUUGCCACCUCAGCUGCUCCUCCCACCAUCACCUGGCCCGCUGAUGGAGUCAGCCCCACCUUAGGCCUAGUUUGUCCUGUUCCGGAGGCAGCAGAGUUCACCACCAUUGCUGCCUCCACUUCUCCAAUUUAUUUAGGCCUAUCCAGCGAGGACGUCAGCUGCCUCGUGUGCUCCGAGCUCUUCAGCGCCUCGAUGCCUGGGGAAGAGUGGGUCCAGUGUGUCUUUUGUUAUAAGUGGUCGCAUGAGGCUUGCACCGACGGGAGUGCACACUACCUGUGUCACCUGUGUGACAAAGAAUAAAAAUAUUCAGCCUACUAUACUGUCCAUGUGUCUGCACUAGUUUGCAGUGGAAAUACUGUAAAUGUAGGCCUACAGCACAAUUCAGUUAACAUUCUAGACUGAUUAACUAACUAACUAUUAGGCCUGGGUUAGGCUAUGAGUGGGAGCUGGGCUAUUAAAUAUUUCGCUGGGUAGGCCUACUUUUCGUCCAUGAUUGUAACGCAUCCAAAAUAACAACGGCUACAUUAAAUUAUGACAAUAAUAAUUGAAUUUAGUGGACAUGCACACUUAAAAACUGCUGGGUAUAAGCUAUAGGCUAGCCUUCUACACCCUUGCUCUUGGUCAUGACACAUGGCAUGCCGAUUUAUCUUUUUCUCCAGCCAUUACCAUCAAUCAGCUAGAGUGCAAUCUUAAUCAAAGUUCUGCUUGUUAUAUGAUUUCAACAUAAUGUUCAUGUCAAUGUGCAGACUAUUACACAAUAUUUAUCAGAUAAAAUAAGUUUAGCCACUUACCUGUCCACAGAGACUCCGGAUGCUUCUGUGCGCCAGGCUGUGCGUGUCGAAAAGAAAUUAACCCUGUGCGGCGCUUGGAUAAAUUUCCGCUGUAACAGGUCUCGUGAUAUCCUGUUGACCUGGUCGUUUUUGUUUAAAAUAAAUAAAAGGAUGUUCAACUGGGUAUACUUAAACAUGACUUAGGACAGGGAAAUAAGUAAAUUUAAUGCAAAUGUAGUCGUCCAAAAGAAGAAAGGUGAGUUUUAAUCGAAAUGUGCAUCUUGAUAAUUACGCACGGGCCAAAAAUAUAUUUUGACCUAUUUAUAUGAUGCGGAAUUAUGUGAGAUUUUAGCAAUGACGAGUAAACUAGUAUGUUGUCUAGUAUGUUGCAUAAAAACAAGAGUAAGGGCAAUAGAUUCUUUUUAAAAUAUGCUGUUUCAAUCGUCCCGCAUGUGUGUUUCAAACGUCCCUACUAGGCGGGGCGUUUGAAACAAAUGUCAACUUACGUUCAAAGUUAAAAAGCAGCUCGAUCGUCCAACAUAUGUAUUAAAUUUCACUUGUAACUAAGAGAACACACCUGUGAGUUGUUGAUCACAUGUUAAAAUUAUUUGUAUACGUAACGUCAUCUUUGAAAAAGACGUUUAACUGAAAAGUGUUUCAAUCGACCCGGCUCUCCC
Long non-coding RNA from Gadus morhua (Atlantic cod), 2972 nucleotides. The record is from Ensembl. Lineage: Eukaryota; Metazoa; Chordata; Actinopteri; Gadiformes; Gadidae.